RNAcentral lists this ribosomal RNA (253 nucleotides) under uncultured bacterium. Its description in RNAcentral is "partial 16S ribosomal RNA". It matches the Rfam family "Bacterial small subunit ribosomal RNA", at positions 524 to 776 of the family's 1533-position model. The record is from RNAcentral.
UACGGAGGGUGCAAGCGUUAUCCGGAUUUACUGGGUUUAAAGGGAGCGCAGGCGGAUUAGUAAGUCAGUGGUGAAAGACGGUAGCUUAACUAUCGCAGUGCCUUUGAUACUGAAGAGCUUGAAUGAACUAGAGGUAGGCGGAAUGUGACAAGUAGCGGUGAAAUGCAUAGAUAUGUCACAGAACACCAAUUGCGAAGGCAGCUUACUAUGGUUUUAUUGACACUGAGGCACGAAAGCGUGGGGAUCAAACAGG